RNAcentral lists this ribosomal RNA (491 nucleotides) under uncultured bacterium. RNAcentral describes it as "partial 16S ribosomal RNA". It matches the Rfam family "Bacterial small subunit ribosomal RNA", at positions 29 to 507 of the family's 1533-position model. The record is from RNAcentral.
AGUGAACGCUGGCGGUAGGCCUAACACAUGCAAGUCGAACGGCAGCACAGUAAGAGCUUGCUCUUACGGGUGGCGAGUGGCGGACGGGUGAGGAAUACAUCGGAAUCUACUUUUUCGUGUGGGAUAACGUAGGGAAACUUACGCUAAUACCGCAUACGACCUACGGGUGAAAGUAGGGGAUCUUCGGACCUUGCGCGAUUGAAUGAGCCGAUGUCGGAUUAGCUAGUUGGCGGGGUAAAGGCCCACCAAGGCGACGAUCCGUAGCUGGUCUGAGGGGUUGAUAGGGCAAACGGAAAGUGAGACACGGCACAGAGACUAAGGGGAGGCAGAGAGGGGGAAUAUUGGAAAAUGGGCGAAAGACUGAACCAGCCAUACCGGGGGGGUGAAGAAGGCCUUCGGGUUGUAAAGCCUUUUUGUUGGAAAAAAAAAGCAGCAGGUUAAAACCCCGCUGUUCGAAGGGAACCAAAAAAAAAAGAACCGGCAAACUUGUG